AACAUCCUCCAAGGUAACCGUGCA
RNAcentral lists this non-coding RNA (24 nucleotides) under Gossypium hirsutum (cotton). Lineage: Eukaryota; Viridiplantae; Streptophyta; Magnoliopsida; Malvales; Malvaceae. The record is from RNAcentral.